Long non-coding RNA from Sinocyclocheilus rhinocerous, 220 nucleotides. RefSeq lists it as uncharacterized. The transcript has 3 exons. Lineage: Eukaryota; Metazoa; Chordata; Actinopteri; Cypriniformes; Cyprinidae. The record is from RefSeq and is a predicted model, not a curated record.
CGUAAAUGAAGGAACGGAAAAGACGUGAUUGGAUGUCCAUGCUUCGUUUUAUCUAUAAAAAUCUUGCAUUUGUUUUAGUUUCUGACCCCAUCUGUGACCCAUCAGUUGAGACUCACCUUUGAACACUGUAUUAAAAUUCCACACAGAAUAGAUGAAAAGUCAAAGGAUGGCCUCCUGGGUGAAGGUCAGUGGAUCAGGUGGAUGUUUGGCACAACCCGAC